GACGAACGCUGGCGGCGUGCCUAAUACAUGCAAGUAGAACGCUGAAGGAGGAGCUUGCUUCUCUGGAUGAGUUGCGAACGGGUGAGUAACGCGUAGGUAACCUGCCUGGUAGCGGGGGAUAACUAUUGGAAACGAUAGCUAAUACCGCAUAAUAUUGACUAUUGCAUGAUAGUCAGUUGAAAGGUGCAACUGCACCACUACCAGGUGGACCUGCGUUGUAUUAGCUAGUUGGUGGGGUAACGGCUCACCAAGGCGACGAUACAUAGCCGACCUGAGAGGGGGAUCGGCCACACUGGGACUGAGACACGGCCCAGACUCCUACGGGAGGCAGCAGUAGGGAAUCUUCGGCAAUGGACGGAAGUCUGACCGAGCAACGCCGCGUGAGUGAAGAAGGUUUUCGGAUCGUAAAGCUCUGUUGUAAGAGAAGAACGAGUGUGAGAGUGGAAAGCUCACACUGUGACGGUAUCUUACCAGAAAGGGACGGCUAACUACGUG
RNAcentral lists this ribosomal RNA (495 nucleotides) under uncultured bacterium. Its description in RNAcentral is "partial 16S ribosomal RNA". It matches the Rfam family "Bacterial small subunit ribosomal RNA", at positions 28 to 507 of the family's 1533-position model. The record is from RNAcentral.